AGAGUUUGAUCAUGGCUCAGAUUGAACGUUGGCGGCAGGCCUCAAACAUGCAAGUCGAACGAGAAAGCCCUUCGGGGUGAGUAGAGUGGCGGACGGGUGAGUAACACGUAGGAAUCUACCCAGCGGCGGGGGACAACCCGGGGAAACUCGGGCUAAUACCGCAUACGCACUACGGUGGAAAGGGGGCUUCGGCUCCCACCGUUGGAGGAGCCUGCGUCGGAUUAGCUUGUUGGUGGGGUAAUGGCCUACCAAGGCAACGAUCCGUAGCUGGUCUGAGAGGACGAUCAGCCACACUGGGACUGAGACACGGCCCAGACUCCUACGGGAGGCAGCAGUUAGGAAUAUUGCGCAAUGGGGGAAACCCUGACGCAGCCAUGCCGCGUGUGUGAAGAAGGCUCUAGGGUUGUAAAGCACUUUCAAUAGGGAAGAAAAGCGUACGGUUAAUACCCGUGCGCCCUGACGUUACCUAUAGAAGAAGAUCCGGCUAACUCCGUGCCAGCAGCCGCGGUAAUACA
Molecule: ribosomal RNA, 515 nt
Filed under: uncultured bacterium
Lineage: Bacteria
Description: bacterial SSU rRNA
Rfam family: Bacterial small subunit ribosomal RNA
Source: RNAcentral